RNAcentral lists this ribosomal RNA (492 nucleotides) under uncultured bacterium. RNAcentral's name for it is "bacterial SSU rRNA". It matches the Rfam family "Bacterial small subunit ribosomal RNA", at positions 368 to 859 of the family's 1533-position model. The record is from RNAcentral.
GGAAGGGGGCACCUGAUCAUCAUGCCGCGUGAGUGAAGAAGGCCUUCGGGUUGUAAAGCUCUUUUGUCAGGGAAGAAACACCGGCUCUAACACAGUCCGGGAAUGACGGUACCUGAAGAAUAAGCACCGGCUAACUACGUGCCAGCAGCCGCGGUAAUACGUAGGGUGCGAGCGUUAAUCGGAAUUACUGGGCGUAAAGCGUGCGCAGGCGGUUAUACAAGACAGGCGUGAAAUCCCCGGGCUUAACCUGGGAAUGGCGCCUGUGACUGUAUGGCUAGAGUGUGUCAGAGGGGGGUAGAAUUCCACGUGUAGCAGUGAAAUGCGUAGAUAUGUGGAGGAAUACCAAUGGCGAAGGCAGCCCCCUGGGAUAACACUGACGCUCAUGCACGAAAGCGUGGGGAGCAAACAGGAUUAGAUACCCUGGUAGUCCACGCCCUAAACGAUGCUGACUAGUUGUUCGGGAAUUUAUUCCUGAGUAACGUAGCUAACGGU